UUGACUGUUGUUAUUGUGGGUCAGAUCUAUAUAACACCUUUGUCAAGCUUAAGCACAAGAUCAACAUAGCAACCUCAGUCUCCCAUCAUCAUUCCAAAGAAAUCCUCAACCUCCAUCCUUCUUCAGAUCAACACCCCACCAUGAGAUACAGCUGCAGAGCCUUUGUUGCUGUGUUCUCAUUGAUUCUGUUGCAUUGUAUCGUGCUGUCACUGCUCACUCUCCAUCAAGAGACACAAGCCCAAUACUCAAGAGAUAGAAGCUAUCCCAGAAGAAUGCUGGUUCCCUCAAACUCGUUCUCGGCUCACUUGAACAAGCUGAGUGAAGCUGCUAAAGAUCUUCAGGAAUCUGUUGAAGCCAGCCUGAAGAGAGCGCCUGGGAGCAAGUCGAAUCCGACCCAGAACAGAUAGCUCUGGAAGAUUCUGUUUUAGGCUAUAGAGAUCUCAACUCAGACUAAGAAAGAGAGAAAUCAACUUUUUCUCUCUUUCUACAUUUUUGCAAUUUCUUUAUUUUUCUUUUCCUUUUUCUGGUUUUCUGAUUAGGUAGGAGAACUGGAUGUAUUAGCAGUUGCUUGACCGUA
This 577-nucleotide long non-coding RNA is filed under the name Eucalyptus grandis. Its description in RNAcentral is "long non-coding RNA (EGRA_LNC001117)". Lineage: Eukaryota; Viridiplantae; Streptophyta; Magnoliopsida; Myrtales; Myrtaceae. The record is from RNAcentral.